AGGGCACCACCAGGAGUGGAGCCUGCGGCUUAAUUUGACUCAACACGGGGAAACUUACCCGGCCUGGACACUGGAAGGAUUGACAGAUUGAGAGCUCUUUCUUGAUUCAGUGGGUGGUGGUGCAUGGCCGUUCUUAGUUGGUGGAGCGAUUUGUCUGGUUAAUUCCGAUAACGAACGAGACUCUAGCCUAUUAAAUAGGCUCUCGGCUUUUAAACGCCGGGAGGACUUCUUAGAGGGACAGGUGGCGGUUCAGCCGCACGAAAGAGAGCAAUAACAGGUCUGUGAUGCCCUUUGUUGUCCGGGGCCGCACGCGCGCUACACUGAAGGGAUCAGCGUGCUUUACGUUCCUGCUCCGACCGGAGUGGGGAACCCAGUGAACCUUCUUCGUGAUUGGGAUAGAAGAUUGUAAUUAUUCUUCUUGAACGAGGAAUUCCCAGUAAAUGCGAGUCAUAAGCUCGCGUUGAUUACGUCCCUGCCCUUUGUACACACCGCCCGUCGCUACUACCGAUUGAACGAUUU
RNAcentral lists this ribosomal RNA (519 nucleotides) under uncultured eukaryote. RNAcentral describes it as "SSU rRNA". It matches the Rfam family "Eukaryotic small subunit ribosomal RNA", at positions 1161 to 1699 of the family's 1831-position model. The record is from RNAcentral.